AUACAACUCUACAUGGUACAUUGUUUCAUGGUAACUAAGACCAUUGCAUAUAUGCUCGGGUGUAGUGCUCUGUGGGUCAUAGCAUGCCAAAUUCUUCAAGAGAGAUAACAGUCCAGUGUAAACAAAGCAAAUAUGUACCUGAAAUCUUUAUGAAUUGCAAUAAUUUAAUAGAAAAAAAGAAUUAAAAAGUGUUUACAGAAAAGUUUGUUAAAUGUGCGAGACGUUCCUGAAAUGUAAAUCAUGGUCGUUUCUGGUAAAAAAUUGUGUGAUUGAAUGAGUAUUGUUUGAACAUCCUUCCAAAACAUUGCGUCACAGUGAGCAAAAUGUUACUAAAGGCAAAAUUGUGCUAAUGUCUGUAAUGUUUCUUGGCCAUCAGUUUAAUGUCUGUGACAUUGGAUACUGCCUGAACUAUCUAGCAAAGAUGAGCGUGUUAACAAUAAUUUAAACUAUAAGAAAACAAAAACACAAUUUAAAUGUCAUAAUCCUUAACAUUUUCUUAGGGAUUGUCCUCACUGGUUCAGCUCAGAGGUAGACAGGCAGUGAUGGCCAUGCUGUGCAGUUACACUGUUCUCUACAUUCAAACCAGAUUAGAAUAGAAAAGCUGAUCCUGUAAAGCCAAGAGUAUCGUGUUUUAUACAUGGGUUUGUGGGACCCCUACUUAGUAUAAUUUUUCCUGAAAAGCCUGAUGUAUACAGUCAGAUGUAGCAGAAUUUAUGCAAAUCAAUGCUCAUAUAUGUAAACUGAUAUUUCAUUUAUUUAUUUAUUUUUUAUUGGUCAGAAGGCUCAGUAAACAUCCCAGUUUCAAAAAAACAUUUCAUGGUUCAGGCUUCACUUGGUUAAAAGUAAAUACUUCUUUUGGAUAUAAGCUCAGUGGGACUGUAUUAGAAAGCCUGGAGACCCUCUGCUAAGUGACAGCACAACUGUCAAGACACACAAAUAACUAUAAAAACCACCACUUUUUUUAUUGCACCUUAAAGAACGUAGAAAUUUCAAGCAGAAAGCACUGUGCAGAAAGUUUUUCAUCGAAACAGAAAUCCAAAUGUAGACAUAGGCAUAAAGCAUCUCUCAGGCCAAUUCACAUUUUCCAUCAGUCACCUCCUGCGCUAGAAUAGGACAAGCCUAUAAUCAAUUAGUAGUUUUCUCUUCAUGUGUCUGUCAAUUAGCCCAGCCAGCGAUCAGUGAUAUGACUGCUUUAUUAACUGAGUCUGCUGUCCUCGUCCUUUCCUUACUUACGACUAGUAACCUAAUAACAACACUUUAACAUGACAUUUAUUGGACAGAUGCAGAAAAAAAACAACCUUGUCAACAUAAUUCAAAAAAUAUGCCCCCUCAUUUUACUGUUAGCCUGUGGAUUCUAAUGUCAAGAAAAGCCCUCCAAAAGCCUUAAAUGGAGCUUCAUUAGAUUUUCGUUCAGCAGUAAAGGAAAAUGCUAAUCAGCACCAAACAAAGCAGAAAUGAUCUUUAGUCACAGAUUCUCAGAAGUUAACAUUUGUAAGACUGCAGUGCACUCAACAUCUUUGGGUAUUUUUCAGAGCAAGUCAGUUGCCAAAAGCAAUGUGAACAUGUUACCCUGGGCAACCAUUGUGGUUGGUUUGUAUUAUAUAAGCUAUUUGGUUUACUGUGUUUGUCAGCACUUUGCAGUGUUGGUUGCAGUAUUUUCUGUGCAUUUGUGAGUCAUAUAAUCACUUGACUCUGAAAACAGAGAAGAAAUUUUAACAUAACAAAUAAAAAUUAUAAAAUGAUAAAAUCAUAUUUUUAUUAAUAUUAAAUUAUAAUAAUUAUAAAUUAAAGUUAAUUGGCUCGAGAUCUUGCAUCUGUGAAAAUCAGACUGAAACUUGCUUGAGUAGCAGUAGUAAAAUGAACAUUUACACUUACACAGCUCAAUGUUAAUGGAAGAAGUAAUGCGUCCUUAAUGUGUCAAACAAUAACUGGAUGUUUUCUAGAUUUUUCUUAUACAAUUUUUGUAGAAAAGCCCUUGCGCUUGCAUUUCCCUCUGUUUCUGCAAGGUCAUUUUCAUAGUGAAAAGAAGAUGAAAAUGACUGAAAAAGUUCUAUGAAGUUAACAUGCUGUGACUUUUACAACUGUUGAAAUUUAAUUUUCAAAAAAGAAGCUAAAAUAUCAGAAUUUGUUAAAAGCUGUGAUGUCCUGCAAUAAGCACAUUGUAAAACAUAUAAAUAAAUAUAAGCAAGGUGUAAGCAGAUUUACAUUAAAAACAUUUCUUCUGGUAGCUACAUGAAGGAAAUUUGUAGCAACUCCAACACUAUUACUCAGAAUCGGAAUCAUGUAUUAAUCCCAGAGGAAACUGUGUAAAAACUAACACUCUACAAUAACAAGUAAAAGACAAAGAACAGUAAAUAGCAAUAGUAAUAAUAUCCACGUGUAUCCUUCAGGCUGCUCUCACACACCAGCUAGUCUCCAUGGAUACUGACUUUAGGUAUAUUUUACAGCCUGCUGGAGCAGCUCAGGAGGGUUUCCUACUUCAUGCCUGGCUCUCUUUUCAAAGCCAUACUCUUUUGGUCUGCAAGAACAACACAUAUAAUGUUGGCGCUGGGGCUUGCUGUAAAAGUAAUUGGUUUCAUUGGAAAGUGGAUAAAUAGCUGUGGCUGGUUGUGGAGGGCGUCCUGCCGAGUUUGACCGCUCCUGGGUUAAUCGCAGUCCUCUGAGGCUGGAAGCUGUCCCAGUCGGCACUGGCCACCAGCCACUGGAAGAUCUGACUUACAUCAUAGCUGGGUUCAACUGCAGGCAAACGAAAAAGAAAAUGUCUGAUGACAACAUUUAAACCCACUGAUGAUGACAAAGUUUUUUAUUCCCUCACAUCGCUUAGAGUUCCGGAAACAUAUUCUUGGUGGACUUUUACUUUAAUAUUUCUACAUUUUAACUUGCACAGCACAGCAGUUCAUUUUCCUUUAUAACUGGAGAAACUUCUUUCACAUUACUCUUUGCAGUUUGAGUCAGUGAUUCUUGGAAUUGAUUACGAGACAAUAAAACACUGGAUUACAGUCGGUACACAUUGUAUAUAUUUCCACAGCUUCUGAUUACAUCAGUGUACACCUUGAGAUUUGAGUCUGGUUUCUGUACUCCGUGAACGUCACAGCGCAGCACAGCACAAGACUGGGGGAUUGUUUUUUUUUUUUUUUUUUUUUUACAAAAAACAAACAAACUGUGACCUAGCUAUUUACAUAUAAUUUUCUAUUUUUCCCUGAAUACUCUGCAAGUCAUUUAGAGACUAAAAACAAUUAGUUACCCCACACUCUCAGUUAUGGGUAUUUACAGUGUUGUUGCUUUAUUUCACCGCUUCUGCUUUCAAAAAUCGGCGGUACUACACUUUCACCCCCACUGCUUCCCCUUUUGAUACAGAAAGAAAUGAGCAAUGAUACUUGACAAGCUGUGGAUGAAACUGAUUUUUUUUUUUUUUUUUUUUAACUAUCACCACUACCAAUACUUUACCUCCAGUCUUUCCAAUCCGACCAAAAAAUAAGCUGCCAUUUCAGCACUAUAAACUCAUUAUUUUCUGCAUGCAGGCUUUUGUUUUUGAUUGAUUUGACGUUCGCAUAAUGCUGACUUUCUCCAUCCCAUCGGCUGACUGAAACGGCCUUUUUGUGCCACUUGACUUUCUCUCUCACACACAGCUGCAUUUGUCUUGCAAAUCCAUCCCUGCUGCGUCGCGUUCAGGCGAGGAAAAGAGAGCAGUCGGACAUCAGUGAAGUUCAAGCCAGCGAACAAGCGGAGAGGCUGUUCCAUAGCAGCAGCUUUUGUCGAUAUCAAAACGGAGAGCUGGUGAAAAAUGAUGCAUGCUUUUACACCUCUGAAUCCUGGCAACUGACAGAGUAAGGGAUGGGGUGGAGGGUCCGGGGUAUAAAAACUAAAAGAAAAAAAACCUUCCCUGGAGGCUGAAAGUGUUGGAAGCGAACAAAGAAUCUCGGACUAAACGGGCUGAGUGUCCUCUAGCGCGCGACGGGGAUCAGCAGCUCAGAAUGUAGGAGAUAGAUGGAGACGCACACGUAUAACCGGCCAUGACUGAAAUUAGCAUAUUUGUAAUUUAUCACUUUUUUGUUGAGUUAUUCGGGGAUUUUUUAAGAAAAAAAAUGUUUAAGAUAAUUUACGAUCAUUUGUCACCUCAUGUAGGCUGAGCAAUUACAGCUUUUCCUCUAGACAUCACACAGCCUCCAGCAUCCCAACUGAAUUCGGAAGACUUUUAGAUUUCUCCGAAAAUACAAGAAAUUGGUGCCUUCUUGUCCGUUUAUAAGUUUCGAUUCAUCGUCGCCAUGAAAUUUGCUUCCAAGUCAGUCCAGUCUGCUUCAUUUCCAUAUCUUUUCAAAGGAGCUUCCUUGUGAAUAGACUGUAAUAUUUCAUGAUGGGGCACGCAAAAGCUGUGCACAAUGCCGUUCAUAUCCACUCUGCUUUCAGGAGCAACAAAGAUCAUAGCAAGACGUCUUUAUGGCUAAUUCAGUCAAAGGCGCAUCUCCCGUCCUCCGGCGCGGAGGUCAGGCCGCCGUGUUCCGUCCACCAGGGGGGUUUUCAGAGGCCAGAGACGGCCAGCUGGCUCCAUCACACGCGCGCGCGCGCACACACACACACGCAUAUAUAUAUAUAUAUAUAUAUAUAUAUAUAUAUAUAUAUAUAUAUAUAUAUAUAUAUAUUGACUGGACGACAAAUGCCCAUAAAACCAAACAAGAUCGAGAUAGUUUUAGUCACAGCUGACAUUUUGGAGUACUGACUUAUAUUUCCCCCAGGGCAGGAGGUGAAAUAGUGAUAGAUUAAUAAAUACAUGUCUCGUUUUCAACAAAUGCGUGUAUCAUAUUGAGAUACCGACAGCUCCCAUCAAAAUGCGCUUUUACGCUGGUUUUGAAAAAAAUUAACACGUGCUUUUCUUCAGAUUAGACACGUGAGUUUGUAGAACAUAAAAAUUCAAACAAAGGGUAACUUUAAAAACUCUUUUGUGUCUCUUCCGUUGGUGACUGCAUUCCAAGUACGUUGUGUGAUGCAUCGUCUUACGAAAGACACCUGAAAUCACACCGAGAUAAAUAUCAGCUGCCUCCACCAGCCGGAUCGCUACAGCUUAUUAUUCAGAUGCUUCUCGUAAAUAUUUUCAUGGACUCACAUGAGCAUUGUGUUUUCGGCUGUUCGAGUUAGCUGAGCAGUAAACGCACCAUUGCGCAAUAAAACCAAACAGCGAAGGUACGCUUUUACGCACGAACCCGACGAAACCAACUGCAGGGAUAAUACCUAAAGUGUGAGUUAAACGGGGAGUUCGCAACGAGGUUUUUCAAUUCGGGUUUAUUUAGUUACAGCUUCUAACUGAAAUUGGCGGGUCAUUGUACAGCGCCAUCUAAUGCACUAGUUUGACAAAUACAGUUUAUCACAGGCGGCUGCUAAAGUGCCAUUUUUGUGUGACUCGUCUUAUUUGACUCUAGCGCUGUAAGACAGUUGAAAUUACUCCAUGUGCACUCGUUUCAGCUCCAGCCUCUGCAUGUAUUGUUAGUAAUAUUCAUGCGCCAAAACAACACUUCAACCCCUUUAAAUUCUCCACUCUGCGGUCAAAAAUAGAAAAUAAUUUUCCUUAAAUGUACACCAGGCGCCGCCACAAAGAAACACAGUCCAGAGGUAAUAAUUUAUCCACUCGGUCUUCUGUAUUUGCCACCCUGCUUUCUCAAUUGGGAAAGCUGUUCGUGCGCCCCGGAGCCACUUGUUGCCGGCGCAUAAAGUUAGAGCUUUUGAGAAGUUAAAUAUCCAGGAAGGAACACAAGUUAGUAUCUCAAGGGCUUUACGGGGACAAAAGACCAGCGCCUUAGCACCAUAUGCUUAAUGGCUACAGCCGUCUAGCCUUUAUUAAAGGCAAAAAGUGGUCCUUUAAAAGUUGGAAAGGCUCCUUUAUUUGAGUUAGAUGGAGCACUUGCGCACAAAACCAGAAGCGCGCAUUGCCAUUGACUCGGCCCCUUUCUCUUUCUUUCAGGACUCUGAAGCGGCCACCGUCAUCGCCCGUUUCACUCCAACAUAAGCUUUUCAUCACCAGGCUUUGUUCUCGGUGAAAGUAAUGCUGCGAAUCAAAGACAUGACAAUAUUUUCCAUCAGCUUGGAGACCCUGGACAAGAGCCCUCGAGCUCUGGCAAAAAUCAGGGCCGGUUAUUCAUCCUGUCAUUCCGCACCUGUGGUCCUGCAUUCAAAGUAUACAAACCUGUCCCUAUUAACAUUAAUUAUUCACAAACAACACAAAGGCUGAAAUAGAGCAGGUUGAAGUCUGUUUAUGGCUCCUAGAUGUUUUAUUCCUCUGAAGAUGUGCCCAAAGCUUUUUUUCUUCCCCUCUCUUGCAACCAAGUGUCCGUCUCUCUUUCAGUCUUGAGUAGCCCUACAGUUUGGAUUUUACAAUCGCAGCAUCUGCUUAAUCUCGGGGGAUGAAAAUAUGACACAAAACAUAGCUAAUCGAGGAUUUGUUACAUCCCGGUAAUGAGUGAUCGAAGCAAGAAACAAUGGUGCAGGACUAUGACAGCCGCAUGGUUCAGGCCCACUUGUGAUAGUUCACUCUCUUGUGGGGAAAGCACCAGGUGAUGGUAAGAAAAUCGUCGGACGAGGAGAGAACGCAGCUCUUUUCUCUCCCUAGAAAAAAUAGAAGACAUAAAUUUAAUUGGCUUAUCAAGGCGCGGCGACCAGGCCUCGCUGUUAAUUGACUGCGGGUGCACAAAACAAACGCAGGGAUGUGUUUGGCUCGUCGGGCCCGCGCUGCGCUUUUAGCCCAGUGUCACGUCAUUGAACUUGUGCUUUAUUAUUGCAAAACGUCAUGCUUUACAGUGGCCAUAUUGUAUCGUGGACAAAGGCCGAUGGAACAUUAAAGACGUGGAAAACUGUGCCAACGCCGUCUCGAACAGUGCAAGGGCCUCUCUUUUUGCUUGUUUUAAAGCAGCUGCUGUUCAGGGACUAGCAAGGAGGAAAUCAAAAGAGACAAAGUUUCAGCUACCAGGUGCAUCCUCGGAGAAAACGGCACAGACAAGACUCUGCCAGCGUGACAAAGAAAGCCACAUAAAAGAUGUCAUUUAGAGCGAAAGGUCACGUCUGAAAAGAAGCACCGGAGAACGAUCUCAGCUACCUUCCCUCAUCUCCCCAUUCAGAGCCGAGCCAGCACACACCCGCUGAGCACCUUUGACUUACCUUGCGCGCUGAUCGGCCACCUUGGCGAGUCUAUACCAGUGGAAAAGCUCAGCUUCACAGCCGGCACUCUGAUGCCAUGCUGAAAGCACAAAAGCUCAUAAUCCGGUGUAUUAGAAUGAGUCCUGGGACUUCAUUCCUCGAGCGAGAUAAUCUGCGGAUCAAGUCGAUCUGUGGUUCUUCUUUUGCGCUCACAUGCGGGCUCAAACCGGAUGUGAAAAAAUACAGCGUAUUCGACCCAUUACUCUCUCUUCUUUGUUGUGUCGGUCGGUGCUGGUAAAGUAAAGCUCCGCACUGGUGUCUUUUUAAAACAGCGCCAUAAACUGGCAGCAGACUUCUGUAUUAAUUGUUAAUUCAUUUUCAGCCUUCGGUGCCAUGAAAUAAAUAUUCAAAGCCACCCGUGCGUAACAGUGGAAGUGUCCGCUGGAUGAAGCCAUUACAUGAUCUCAGCAGACGCAAAGCCAGGAGGAUAACGGCUCACUCGUAAAUGUCCUGGCGAAAACUCUCUCUCUCUCAAAAAAAACGAACAAAAACAAAAACAAAAAACUGCUCACAGUGCUCUGUGUAGCAUGGUGUCAUCUAUUACAGCAGAGACUGUGUUCAUUACAAUUACCGAAGCCCUGCAAACCUUCAACAUUCCACUUACAGAUUCAAAGAAAACGAGCUACCAAAUAUGAGUUAGCGUACAAUAGAAAUAAUGGAUCUGUUGUUUAUGGCGACCUAUCUCAGCAGUGAUGAACACGUUCAAAAGUUUUAGUGAACCGUCUUUGCAGCUUGAUGGCUGUUCGUCUCAGAAAAUCUGAUUUUUGUGACUGAUUUAAAUGUUGGAGCUCUGGAAAGCAUCUGAUUAUUUUCUGAAUUCUGUGCUAUUCUUAGAAAUCGGUUUGUCAGACAGCUCGCUUCUACCUAGGACGACUCGCACUCGUUUGAUUUGCAGCAGGAUGUAAGAGCGCGCCGCGUGCCUGCGCUCAGUCUGCAGAUCCUUUCUCAACCAAAUCGCUAUCUGUGGCUCAGAAAGUUCAGGCCUGCGCAGAACUAAAGGAAAUCAAACUUUCCGCGCCAAGCCUGUAGUCGGAGUGACAAGAUAGCCGGGAGGAUUUAAACCUGGCUCCGACCGCACCAAACGACGCUGAGACGCGCUUUGCGUUGCGACACUAAAAAGCGCGAGCGCGACACUACAGCGUCUGAACGGACCUGCAGCUCUUGCCAAGGAGAUGAAGUUGCAUUGACCCUCUAACAUUUGACUUUCUAAUGGCUGCAGCAGGAUUACAUGCUGCUGUCGGAAGCACAGAGGAAGUGGAACAGAGGCGGAGAGAAACAGCGUAACUGUCAUUAAAAGUGGAAAAACGAAGGAAAGACGAGUUGUGCAGCUGAAGAAGAAACAAGCAUACCUGCUCUGCUGCAGGUGCCGCGGGUCC
This is a long non-coding RNA of Oreochromis aureus, 8558 nucleotides long. The record is from Ensembl. NCBI's taxonomy places the organism in Eukaryota, Metazoa, Chordata, Actinopteri, Cichliformes, Cichlidae.